This 390-nucleotide ribosomal RNA is filed under the name uncultured bacterium. RNAcentral's name for it is "bacterial SSU rRNA". It matches the Rfam family "Bacterial small subunit ribosomal RNA", at positions 28 to 412 of the family's 1533-position model. The record is from RNAcentral.
GACGAACGCUGACGGUGUGCUUUAGACAUGCAAGUCGAGCGAGAAAGCCCUUCGGGGUUAGUAAAGCGGCGAACGGGUGAGUAACACGUGGGCAAUCUGCCCCUCGCAGGGGGACAACCGGGGGAAACUCCGGCUAAUACCCCGUAAGUUUCCAGAGUCGCAUGGCUUUGGAAAGAAAGGUAGCUUCGGCCAUCCGGCGAGGGAUGAGCCCGCGGUACAUUAGCUAGUUGGUGGGGUAACGGCCUACCAAGGCGCGANGUAUAGCUGGUCUGAGAGGAUGAUCAGCCACACUGGGACUGAGACACGGCCCAGACUCCUACGGGAGGCAGCAGUCGGGAAUCUUGCACAAUGGGCGAAAGCCUGAUGCAGCAACACCGUGUGAGCGAUGAA